GAAUCCACUCAUUAUUCUGCUACGGGCCUGAUGACAUAGAUUUCAUUGCUGAGUGAUAUUGCUUUGUACAAUCAUCGUACCUGAAUCCACUCAUUAUGCUGCUACGGGCCUGAUGACAUAGAUUUCAUUGCUGAGUGAUACUGCAUUGUACGUAAAAUCAUCGUACCUGAAUCCACUCAUUAUGCUGCUACGGGCCUGAUGACAUAGAUUUCAUUGCUGAGUGAUAUUGCAUUGUACGUAAAAUCAUCGUACCUGAAUCCACUCAUUAUGCU
Molecule: long non-coding RNA, 272 nt
Organism: Orcinus orca (killer whale)
Lineage: Eukaryota; Metazoa; Chordata; Mammalia; Artiodactyla; Delphinidae
Exons: 4
Source: RefSeq, a predicted model, not a curated record